Molecule: long non-coding RNA, 497 nt
Filed under: Volvox carteri
Lineage: Eukaryota; Viridiplantae; Chlorophyta; Chlorophyceae; Chlamydomonadales; Volvocaceae
Description: long non-coding RNA (VCAR_LNC002177)
Source: RNAcentral
GACUGCGGGGUGUCGCGAUGGGGUGUAGUGAGGUGGGGUUGUGUGUGUAGUAGGGUGUAGUGUAGUGAGGUGGGAUGGGUUGCGUAGUAGGGUGUAGUGUAGUGAGGUGGGGUUGUGUGUGUAGUAGGGUGUAGUGUAGUGAGGUGGGAUGGGUUGCGUAGUAGGGUGUAGUGUAGUGAGGUGGGAUGGCGAGCUGGACUGGUUGGCGUGUGAGUGGGUGGGACGCGGUUGAGGCAUGGUGCCGUGUGUGUGCGCGUGUAUGUAUGUGUUUGUGCAUGUGUGGAUGGUCAGGAAUACUGCGUGGCUAUAUCUGAAAGGUGCAGGCAGGUAGAUGGGGUAGCUACAGAGACUGGGUGCCUGGGGAGGGCUGUGUGGAGGAAGCGGGCUGAGGAGAUGGCACAUGCUUAAUGUGGGAGAUGGAGUGGGGGCGGAGGAGCAGUGUGUAGAUACGGUAUUCGCCUGUAUCAGCACGCAACCCCACACCCCCCAACACACAC